CCGCACCACAACCUCGCCCGCUCCACUUCCCAGCGGACACCGAUCCUCACCCGUCGCCCGCCCCAUCCGCCGCCCGCCGAUCCACUCGGCCUCCACCGCCGCCCGCCGCCCUAAAUCCUCGCCCUCCUCCGCCGCCACCGCUCAGCUUGGCCUCCUCCGCCGCGCGUGAGGAGGUGGAGGAUGAGCGCGGCGUCCCAAAAGGCGGCGAGGCGGAGGCGGUGGAGUAACGAGAUGGCUGCCGGGUCCUGCUUCCUUGCGGUGGGGAGGGUCGAGGUGGAGGCCGGGUUCUGCUUCCUUGCGGCGAGCGCGGGUCUAGGUGGAGGCGGAGGCGGCGAGGAGGGUCGAGGUGGGUGCCGGGUUCUGCUUCCUUGCGGUGCGCGCGGUGACGCCGGCUGCUGCCGCCGAUCCAGCGCUGCUUGCACGGUGGCGCGAGAGACCGCUGCCCACCCCCAGUCGCACUCCACAAACGCACGCCUCUCCCAACUCAGGCCAUCCCCAAACAGCGACCACGACGCCCCACCGCUGGCCCCUUCGCGGCCACACUCCCCACGACGCCUGCCGGUUCUCCGCCGCCUCGCCUAGGCCGUCUUGGAACCGCCGCCGUCGCAGCUACAGUCAGGUGAUAGUUAAGAAGAACAUAGUAUGUGAUGGUCCAAUAAGGAAGAAAUGUAAGUCGACAGUGCUGCUGAUGGGUGGCAUUGAUAGUCCCAACGCCUUUGCUCUUGGAUCAUUAUUCAAGCUUAUUUUUUCCUACAACAAGAAAGAGGAUGCUGAAGGAGGUAUUGCAACUAGAAAGGAGAUUUCAGGAUAGAAAGGCAGCUUUGGAGAGGGGUCGCAAAGAUCAAGGCUAUUGUGUCAAGUACUGUGCUCAAAACGUCCAUCGGGUGCAUCCAUCUCGCCCAGUUCAUCACCGACCACCAAGCGAUUUACAUCCACUGCGAUCAUGGAUGACCCCGUGAGACAUUGUCGCCGUCCUAUUCUUCCAGAUACAAUGGGUUGAUUAAUACGGUAUUUUGAUAUGCUAAUCAUGCUUUCGUUUCACUAAAUUCCCAGAACAAUACUACUUACUAUCUACUAAUACUGUUCUCUCAACUGCAAAAAUCAGAAUUAUCGCAACAUUUUGGUGAUCUAUAUUCUAGCUUUUAGUAUAUGGUUUGUUUUAGAAGCAGAUAAGUGGUGAAGGGUCGUAUAUAGGAAUACUUGUUAUGCACGUCUAUCUACACUCUUCUCAGCCUGGAAAUCAUUACGUGCUUGCUGACUUGUUUUGCUCACAUUGCCGCCGAAACUGUGAGCGGUCCUUGCAUGUCUUGUGUAUUCACUGAAAGCAUCUAAAAUAUGGAGUUGCAGCAUGGCUACUAGCUGCUACUUUCAUGUUAUCAGAAGAAGGCCAAAGCUCUCAUUUUCUAGAUAUGUCGAGUUUAAAUAUGAAGGAUAUUUUAAGAACGGAAUUUUCAGCAUCAUAUAUCUAUAGCAAUUGUGUUCUGAAACGGAAUUGUUGGCUCCUAAUAAUAGUGUACUGAAUUCUCUCAAGUCCUUCCAGCUUUAGGGACUUCUCAAUUGGAUCUGCACAACCCAACAAAAUAAAUAUGCAUAGUGUCUGCGACACUUUCUUCCGAUCAUCAUGAAGGUAGUUCUAGGAGUAAAAAAGUAUGUCAUACUGUUUUUUCAGUACAAGCCAGAGACUGUCGAGAAAGAAAGGCUAGGACAGGUAAUACUUGUUUUUACAGUACUUGCGCAAAAAGUAUGUGAUGCUGUUUUGUUCUAGAUGAUUUUGAUGAAUUUUACAACCUUAUUUUCAGUCGUAUACCCCAAGAAAUGGUCUGCUUUCAUGGGGCUUAUUUAAUCCAAGAAAGAAAUGUGAGUAGUAGCGAAUCAGACAUGAAAAGUUUCAGAGAACUAUUAAAACUCCGGUCAGUUUUGUCAGGAUCUUGUGACCCAGUUCUAGGACUC
Molecule: long non-coding RNA, 1950 nt
Organism: Triticum dicoccoides
Lineage: Eukaryota; Viridiplantae; Streptophyta; Magnoliopsida; Poales; Poaceae
Exons: 3
Source: RefSeq, a predicted model, not a curated record